CCCUUAGAUGUUCUGGGCGGCACGCGUGCUACAUUGACACGGACACCAAGUAGAACCGCUUGCUCGAGAGGGCUGGCUAAUCUCUAAUCCGUGUCGUAAUGGGGAUUGCACUUUGCAAGUAGUGCACCAACGAGGAAUCUCUUGUAAUCGUGUGUCAUCAACGCGCGAUGAAUACGUCUCUGUCUCUUGUACACACCGCCCGUCGCUUCUACCGAUUGGAUUUUUCAGUAAAGAUUCGGGAUUGCGCGGGGAGAGCGGGCAACCGCGCCUCGAGCGAGAACUUGUUUGAACUGAAAUGUCUAGAGGAAGGAGAANUCGUAACA
This 323-nucleotide ribosomal RNA is filed under the name uncultured eukaryote. RNAcentral describes it as "partial 18S ribosomal RNA". It matches the Rfam family "Eukaryotic small subunit ribosomal RNA", at positions 1470 to 1796 of the family's 1831-position model. The record is from RNAcentral.